GACGAACGCUGGCGGCGUGCUUAACACAUGCAAGUCGAACGGAAAGGCCCUGCUUUUGUGGGGUGCUCGAGUGGCGAACGGGUGAGUAACACGUGAGUAACCUGCCCUUGACUUUGGGAUAACUUCAGGAAACUGGGGCUAAUACCGGAUAGGAGCUCCUGCUGCAUGGUGGGGGUUGGAAAGUUUCGGCGGUUGGGGAUGGACUCGCGGCUUAUCAGCUUGUUGGUGGGGUAGUGGCUGACCAAGGCUUUGACGGGUAGCCGGCAUGAGAGGGUGGCCGGGCACAUUGGGACUGCGGGACGGACCAGACUCCUACGGGCCGCAGCAGGGGGGAAUAUUGCACAGUGGGCGGGAGCCUGAUGCAGCAACGCCGCGUGCGGGAUGACGGCCUUCGGGUUGUAAACCGCUUUCGCCUGUGCCGAAGCGUGAGUGACGGUAAUGGGUAAGGAAGCACCGGCUAACUACGUG
RNAcentral lists this ribosomal RNA (468 nucleotides) under uncultured bacterium. RNAcentral's name for it is "partial 16S ribosomal RNA". It matches the Rfam family "Bacterial small subunit ribosomal RNA", at positions 28 to 507 of the family's 1533-position model. The record is from RNAcentral.